AAAGCUGUGCUCAAGAAAUAAAGCAAAAGACACCAUCCUUGUCAACAAAAUUAAGCCCCUCCCUCUCUCUCUCUCUCUCUCUCUCUCUCUUUCUCUCUCUAACUCUCUCUCUCACUCAUACACAGACAUAUUCACUCACACACACAUAAUUGCAUUAUAUUGUUCUUGAGGGAUUCCAGAGACCAGUCUUCUCCUCUCAUUUUGGUUUCUUGUUCAAAGAAAAAAAAUAAAAAAGAUUGAAUCUUGAUCAGGGCUGCAUGUUGAAAUCUAAGUUCUGAAAGAUCGAGGAUUCCUUUUUUACUUAAAUAAGGAAUGCCCAUUUGUAAUUUCCAUUGAAAGUACAAAAAAAAUAGCAAGAAAAGAAGCCAUUGAAGAGAAGAGAUUAUUUUCUUACAAGGGUUUGUUUGGGUUCGAAAACUUCCCAGAGAUUGCCACAUGAAACAUUGAGCAACAAUGAAAGAUGGAAACUCCAAGAAAAGCAAGCUUUCUUGGUCGAAGAGGCUGAUUCGAAAAUGGUUCAAUUUCAAGAACAAAUGUCAGGAGUACAAAACCGAUGAUGCUGUCAAUGGAGUGCAAUGGAGGAAGAGCUUCUCCGAUAGGGAACCGCCGGCGCCGGCGCCGGCGAUCAAGAAAAGCCGAACCGAGAAUCCGACGAAGAAGAUCGACCGGACAUAUUCCCGGUCCCGAUCCCGGUCGCGCCGCCGCCGCCGCGGCUAUCUCGAUCAUCCUCAGAUCAUAAACAUCCAAAACUACAGCGUCUUUGUAUCGACGUGGAACGUCGGCGGAAAGUCGCCGCCGAACAGUAUGAACUUAGACGAUUGGCUGCACGCUGCGCCUCCGGCCGAUAUAUACGUCCUCGGGUUUCAGGAAAUCGUCCCGCUCAACGCCGGAAAUAUUCUCGGUGCCGAGGACAACGGUCCGGCGAAAAAGUGGCUUGGCCUAAUCAAAAGAACGUUGAACAGCGCCGCACCCGGCGAGAGCUGCGGCAGCGGCCGGUGCUGCUACACCCCGUCUCCCGUGCCCGAUCCCGUCGCCGAAUGGAACGCCGAUUUCGAAGGAUCGAUCCGGAACAAAGCCUCGACCUUUUUCCCGCGUCGAUCGUUCCAAACGCCGCCGCAGCGGUGGAGAAUGGAGGGCGACGCGUCGAUACCGCAGCCUCGGCUAGACCGGAGAUACAGCGUUUGCGAUAGAGUAAUUUUCGGUCAUCGGCAGAGCGAUUACGACCCAAAUAUAAGAUGGGGUUACCGCCCGAGCGACGGAUCGUCGAGCCAACGUCCGAGCGAUUAUUCUUCCGGGCAUCGUCCGAGCGACUAUUCGUCCGGUAAUCGGGCGAGUGAUUACUCAUCUAGCCGUCGCCCGAGCGACUACUCCUGGGGACAGAGGGCGAGCGAUUUUUCCCGGUGGGGUUCCGACGAGGAUUAUUUCCCCAGCGAGUCACCGAGCACGGUUUUGUAUUCUCCGAUCGAAGAUGCGUAUGCUUUUCCGGGACAAUCGAGAUACUCGUUGGUAGCGAGUAAGCAAAUGGUCGGAAUUUUUCUCACUGUAUGGGUUCGGAGCGAGUUAACCGAGCACGUGGGGAACAUCAAAGUCUCGUGCGUCGGUCGAGGGCUUAUGGGCUAUCUUGGCAACAAGGGGUCGAUAUCGAUAAGCAUGUUGUUACAUCAGACGAGUCUAUGCUUCGUGUGUAGUCACUUGACGUCCGGUCAGAAAGAAGGCGACGAGCUACGUAGGAAUGCCGAUUUUAUGGAGAUUCUUAGGAAAACGAGGUUUCCACGAGUUAACAGCGCCGACGACGAGAAAUCCCCCGAAACGAUACUCGAGCACGAUCGAAUUAUUUGGCUAGGAGAUCUUAAUUAUCGAAUAGCGCUGCCGUACCGAUCAGCGAAAGCAUUGAUUGAAAUGCAAAAUUGGCGAGCCUUACUAGAGAAAGAUCAACUGCGACUUGAGCAGCGACGGGGACGGGUAUUCGAUGGAUGGAGGGAGGGGAAGAUAUAUUUCCCGCCUACUUACAAAUACUCGCGCAAUUCAGACAGGUACGCCGGCGACGACAUGCACCCGAAGGAGAAACGGAGGACGCCUGCAUGGUGCGAUCGAAUUUUGUGGUACGGUAAUGGCCUUCAACAACUGUCGUACGCUCGCGGGGAGUCGAGAUUUUCCGAUCACCGGCCGGUGUCGAGCGUUUUCUGGGCAGAAAUCGAGUCGGUCCCCAACCGGUUGCGGAAAAGCAUGAGCUGCUCGAGCUCCCGGAUUGAGGUUGAGGAAUUGUUGCCGUACGCCCAUGGCUACACCGAACUUUGCUUCUUUUGAUCGACUAACACCGGUGGCGAUUUCUUACAAGGAAUAACGAGUAUUUGCCUGCAAAUUCGUUCAGGCUUACUUUCUUACAUUGCUACGGUCGAUCACAUUCUUGCUCGAAAGAGACACGGCUAAAUUCAGCGCGACUCGAUUAAUCGAAACUUGACUAGGGAUAUAGUUCUGUGUUUCAUAUCGACGAGGAGAUUUAAGGGCAAGGCUCGUUUGUUUGGUUCUUUUGAAAGGAUUUUGGAUUAAUUAAGAUUCUUUAAUUUGUUCGGGCAUAUUCUUUUUCAGUUACGUUAAAAGUUUCGAUCGUUAAGCCGUUAUUUUUCAAGUGCGCUUAAGAUUCUUGAAUUAGUCAGUAGUAAGUGACCCUUUAGUGAUGGUCAAAAUAACAUAUAGAUAUAUAUAUAAUGUAUGUAUGUAUAAACAGGGGCGGAUGCAGUAUUAACUAUUAUGUAAGGUGGGUGAAUUGAUACAUAAAAAAAAUUAAAAAUAAUAUUAAUUAUUAU
This is an RNA transcript of Andrographis paniculata, 2807 nucleotides long. It is a transcript of the gene named type IV inositol polyphosphate 5-phosphatase 7-like, with no coding region annotated. The transcript is spliced from 11 exons. NCBI's taxonomy places the organism in Eukaryota, Viridiplantae, Streptophyta, Magnoliopsida, Lamiales, Acanthaceae. The record is from RefSeq and is a predicted model, not a curated record.